UUCCCCAACUUUGAAAAAUAUCCUCCCUUAUCUUAAUUGAAAAUGUUACAUACCUAUUUUACCUUCAAAACUUAAAACCAUCAUCCCUUUCACCUUUUUAAUGUUAUGAUAUUGUUUACUUAUUCUUUUUUGGUCUAUAUUUUAGACUUACCUAUAGAAUGAAAUAAUCUUAUUUAUGACGUAAAAAAGUGAAAUAAUCUUCUGAAACCCAUAGAGUGUUCGAUGAAAUGGCCCAUAGGGAAACCUUUCGCGUUGCUCCAGAAAAUGUCGCCAGUGAUGCUGCGAAAGUGUAUCUUCAGAAGCUAUGACUUCUUUCGUUAUAUUUGGAGGAACAUGAAAGGAAGAUGGAGAAAAUUGUCUAUAGCUUUCAUCAAAGUAGUAAGGCACCAAAGAAAAGGUGAUUACGCAUUUCUCCGUACAUGCCAGACACCUUCCAAAACAGGCUUCAAGAAGUUCAGGGGGAAGACUUUUACAAAGUUCAGCUCCGAAAUUUUUUUGGCACAAAGAAGUUUCCAAGAUUAAAUUCUAAAUGCGACUAUUAGGACGAAUGUUUGGUGGAUUAUUGCAGACCAUUGGUCCAUCAAUGGCACCAAUGGAUUGGAAGAGGCUAUACGAACUCACAGGGAAGAUACUACCGACAAGGCAAUCGUGAGGGCAUCGGAAGUGAGGCAGAGACUGCAAAGAGAGAAGAAAUUUUGUUGGAACUUGAUCAGGUUUUGUGAAGAAAAUGGACGAUGUGUUUGUGACUUUGAGGUUUAACCACGGAGAUCCUUCCAACUAACAUACUGGAAUUUCUUCCAGACACCGACAAGGACGCUGUUGUUCAUUACGACGAUCAUGAGUAUAAUAUGAAAUACAAGGUUAGCGUAUACACGCGCCUCGCUCAAGGUUGGAAAGCCUUCAUUGAUGCUGCCGGAUUAGGGAUAGGAGAUGUGUUGUGUUUUAAGGCAUGUUUAGAUGAGAACCGCAUAGUGUUUUUUUGUUCAUGUAAAGGAGGAUCCGGAGAUCGUAAUGAUAGAUUAGGUCUCCAGAUUCUCUAUUUAAAGUAAUUUAUAAAAUUUCUCGACUUUUGCUAUCAUUUUCAAGGUAAUAUUUUCCAUAACAACAAAAUUCUUCAACAAGAGCAUAAAGUUCUUCCAUGACAUUUACAUUACAACAAGAGCAUGAAGUUCUUACAUUACCUACUACGCGAUUACAACAUACAACAUAAAUUCAGUUGAUUAAGGAAGCCGCCAAAAAGCCAAUAAAUAUUCCCCACGAAAUCAAAAGCAACAUCCUUGUAUUUGCAAGUUUCUCCUCCAAAUUUAGAACUUUUUUCAAGUCAAAUUGUUGUUUACUCUUCAAACCAAUUAAUUCCUCCUUCAUUUUGUUCAAUUCAAUUAGAUGUCUAGCCUCAAUGGCAAUUAAUUCUUCUUGCAAUUUGUCCCUUUCGAUCUUGACCGCAUCUAACGACGACGUCAAAUUUUGAACUUUAUUCCACUGAAUCUCAGGGAACAAUUCAUCUUCCCAUUCCCAAAAUCCACAAGAAUUUCCCUUAGGCCUCGGACAUUUGUAGAAUUUCCGUCCGGGAUUACUAGGAGUCGAUGAAGUGAGGUGUUUUGCAAUGGUGCCACAAUUACAUUUCACGUGAGAUGAACAGCUACCUUGAGACAUGUAUGAACCCACAAUAUUUUCGAAUUACCACAAAGAGUGAUUAUGGACAGAAAUUUGGAGGAGAAAUUUGGUGGAGAAAUUUGGUGGAGGAAGAAUACAUAUAUGAAGGAGCAAUGGAGUGAGCAAGAGGAAUUUCAUGAAUGGAGGAAAAAAAAACGGGGCUGGUGUGAUGAAGAUGAAGAUGAAGAACUAGGGUUCUAAAGGGUGGUGGGUCGGGUGGGAUUAAAGGGGGAACGGUAUUAUAACCGUUACCCCGUCGAUUUUAUUUUAAAAAAAAAAAGUUCACAAAAAUUAAUUAACGCGCGGCUGAGGCACUGUCAAACACGCGCCUUGGUCUGGGGCACUAGAGGGGGAAAAUAAUUAAAACGUAACUUGUUAAGGGGGAUAAAUAAACAAAAGUUAAGUUUAGUUGCUAAAGUGAGUUUUCGUGCCAAGUUCAGGGGCUAAAACAUGUGUUUUCUCUUAAACUUAUUAUGCAGGUUGUUUGAAUUGUUAACUUACUAAAUAUAGAAAGAAAUACUCUUUUUGGGACAACCAAAAAGCAAUCCCAAAAAGGAAAGUAAAACACUUAAAUUGAGACGAAGGGAGUAAUUUUUAUUAAGGUGACUUUCCAAAUAAGCCCUUAUAAUUGGAAUUUGGAAUGUCAAAACUAUUCCAUGCCGCUAAAGACAAAAUUCAAGUAGUCAAAUUUGGCUAGCUUGGAGAUCUGGUCAUAUGAUUUCUCACAUUCUCUUUUUAACAACAAAUUGCAUAUUUUGAUUUUCAUAUUAUUGCAAGGUUUUAUUUGAACUUUGGAGAUGGCUUAUGCUAAUGUUAUUUCUCUUGUGCGAACUUUUGGGCCACUCGUGCAACGGAAGCCACAUUGGAUAAAUGAUGAAACAAGAACAAUGGUGGACUCUCUCCUUGAUGGUCUUCAAUAUUUCCAACACUUUCUUAACAACAUUAGCAAGCUGAGAAGGCAACAAUAUUGUGGAAAGGUUGCAGAGUUGGAGAGAAAGAUUACACCUGCAGUGAAUGAAGCAGAAGAUGUGAUUGAACUAAGAAUAUAUGAAUUUUUUAAUGGAACAAUGGGAAGAGAGGCAUUAUCCGAGACUUUCUUGCGAACACUUGUCAAGAAGUUUGAUGAUCUAAAGAGGGAGUUGAUGGAAUGCAGGUUUGGUAAAGAAACAAUGGAAAGAAAGGCGUUACACGAAAUGUUGCCUCCACUUGUAAAAGAGAUUGAUGUUGUGAAACGGGAGGUGAUGGGAAGUCAUUUCGGUACAAAUGAAGUUCAAUACUAUGGUGAUCCUACAAAUGAGGAUCUGUGAACGGUUGAGUCCUUGCCUGGUCAUUCAUCUACAUAUGUUACAAAACUAAAUCCAGAAAAUAUUGUCAUGGGUCUUGAAGAUGACUUGACAAGAAUAAUGAGUAGACUAAAAGGGCCAACAUCUACUCGAGAAAUUGUCCCCAUACUUGGAAUGGGGGGAAUAGGCAAGAUGACACUUGCUAGAAAAGCAUAUGAUGAUCCUGAAAUUAAGCAUCGUUUUGACAAACAUGUUUGGAUGACAAUAUCUCAAGAAUAUUGUGCUAGAGAUUUGUUGUUGGGUGUUGUUUCUUGCUUCACUAAGCUGACAAAUGAGAUCAAAGAAGAGAAUAAUGAUCAAUUGAUGGAUAUGAUACACAAAAAGUUGAAGUGUAAGAGCUAUCUUGUUGUUAUGGAUGAUAUUUGGAGCAAUGAUGUGUGGGAUACAAAACGUAAGUGUAAGAGGUAUCUUGUUAGAGGUAUCUUGUUGUUAUGGAAAAUAUUUGGAGCAAUGAUGUGUGGGAUCUUAUGACAAGAACUUUUCCGGAUGACAACAAUGGGAGUCGAAUUGUUUUGACAAGUAGGCUCAACGAUGUUGCUAUGCAUGCUGACCCUGACAGCCCUCCUCAUGAAGGAAGCCUCUUGAAUGCAGAUCAAAGUUGGAUGUUACUUCGUGACAAGGUGUUUGGAGUACAACAACAUGUUUGUCCUCCUGAACUAGAGGAUAUCGGGAAGCAAGUAGCAGAAAGAUGCCAAGGACUAACUUUAGCUCUUCUAGUGGUUGCGGGACAUCUCUCUAAAAUUGCUAGAACACCAGAAAGUUUGAAAGAUGUUGCCAAAAGUGUAAGGAAAGUUGUUCAUAAUUUAUCAGAUAUAUGUCUGGGAGUGCUUUCUAUGAGUUACAAUUACUUACCUAAUCAUCUUAAACCAUGUUUCCUCUAUAUGGGAGUUUUUCCAGAAGAUAGGAAGGUCAACAUUAAGAGACUGAUCAACUUAUGGGUUUCUGAGGGUUUUGUAUCCGAAGAAGAGGGAAGAGAUUGUUUGGGGGAUCUUGUUAGCAGGAAUCUUUUAAUGGUUAGAAGUAGGACAUUUAAUGGCGAGUGGAAAACAUGUUGUGUCCAUGAUCUGGUCGGCGACUUGAUUUUAGGAGAAGUAGAGGAAGAGAGGUUCCUGCAGGUUACUACAGAUUCUUCAGCAAAGAAGCUUUCUCUGCAUCGCUAUAGUUUACAUUCACACAUUUAUCAGGCUGAUUGCUGGGAGUUAUCAUCCAGUCAUCAUCUCACCAGAGCUGUGCACUCAUUCCUUGAAUUCGAUAUGCAUUAUAAACAAGUUCCUCUUUUGGAGCAUUUCAAGCUGCUAAGAGUGUUGGCAAUCCUUGAUCAUGCGUUUGAAAGUUUCCCACUUGAGGUAACAAAAUUGGUACAUCUCAGAUACCUUCAAUUGAACUGUAAUGAAAUUCACUGGUUAGUCUUCAGUCUUUAUAAUCUGCAGACGUUCAUUUUAAAUGGUCGAAUUAAUUAUUCUCAAACUGAAUUACCUGAGACUAUUUGGCGAAUGAAAUACUUAAGGCAUCUUCACGUGAGUCAUCAUUUUUUUCAUUCAGUCAAGAGAGGUAAAAUUUGAUUUCAAGCUAGAAAAUCUGGAGGAACUUUCCUGUCUGCAUUUCUCCAGCUGUACUUCUGAAUUGUUAUCUGCUAUUCCAAAUCUUAAGAGACUGAAAAACCAUGGAAAUUGGUUGCAACGCCAGACUGGAUAUCGGAAUUAUUCACAAUUCCUAAAUAGCCUUUCCUGUUUAAAAGAACUUGAAAUAUUGAAGUUCAUGUGCGCAGAUAUAUUCCAUCUAGUAGUCCCAAGUAAGUAUACUUUGCCUACAUCUCUGAAUAGGUUGAGUUUAGUAUAUACUCAUUUACCAUGGGAAGACAUGAAAAAUAUCGUCAUGUUGCCAAACCUCGAAGUGCUUAAAAUUAAAAAUGCUGGAUUUGAUGGUCCUGUGUGGAGAUUAAAUGAUGAAGAGAUUUUCAAUCAACUUAAGUUCCUCCUAAUCAAUGUGAAAUAUCGGGAGCAAUGGGAAGCUGGCAGUGUUAACUUCCCAAAGCUGCAACGCCUAGUUCUGAGAACAUGUAUAUACCUGGAGGAAAUCCCUAAAGACAUUGGGGAAAUUUAUACCUUGGAGUCAAUAGAGAUGUAUGAUUGCAGCACUUCCGCUGAAAAAUCCGCGAGAGAAAUUCAAGAAGAGCAAGAGAGCAUGGGGAAUGAUUGCCUUAGUGUUUUCAUCGAUAGCUUUCCGUAAGAAUCAAACUGUCUCAAACUAUUGCUAGCUAAUCAGUUUAAUAUUUUCUGUGAUCCCUUUAUUCUUUUACAUUGCCUCAUGAUAUUAUUAAGUUCCUCCUAAUUAGAACGAAUGAUCUGAAGCACUGGAAAGCUAGCAGUCUUAACAUCCAAACGCGGCAACACCUAUUUCUGUUUACCCAGAGGAAAUACCAAAAGACUUUAGGGAAAUUUGUACCUUAGAGUCAAUGUAGUUGUAUGAUAGCAGAAGAUCUGCAGCGAAAUCCGUGAAUGAAAUUCAAGAAGAGCAAGAGAGCAUGGGGAAUGAUUGCCUUAGUGUCCUCAUCGAUGAUUGUAGUAGGGGAGUUGAAUGUUAAGUUCUAGAAAGCUCAUCAUGCAAGUUAAGAGAAAAUGGUGUGCGUGUGAUGACUCUCAAGCAGUGGGAAUCAAUAUAAUGACCCUUUGUUAGCUUAGAAUGGGAGAUCACCUGUAACUUGUUCAUUAGCAAUUGUAGUCUCUUUUUUGUUCCUUAUGAUGACUCAAAGACCUAGCUUUUACCGGGGUCAUGUUGCUAGUUACUGUUCUUUAUUUUUAAUUUUCUCGUGAGCUAAAUAAUAAUGACUAGAUGGUUGUUAUCAUGGUAUAUUUCGUAAGGCUAUGUUCUUCAAUUUGAGAGCAUAUUAUAUGCUUCUGUA
RNA transcript from Lycium barbarum (goji berry), 5898 nucleotides. RefSeq lists it as uncharacterized. NCBI's taxonomy places the organism in Eukaryota, Viridiplantae, Streptophyta, Magnoliopsida, Solanales, Solanaceae. The transcript is spliced from 7 exons. The record is from RefSeq and is a predicted model, not a curated record.